UUCUCCCUGAGACUUAGAGUCUCCUGAAGGAACGUUGAAGACGACGACGUUGAUAGGCCGGGUGUGUAAGCGCAGCGAUGCGUUGAGCUAACCGGUACUAAUGAACCGUGAGGCUUAACCUUACAACGCCGAAGCUGUU
This 139-nucleotide ribosomal RNA is filed under the name Salmonella enterica subsp. enterica serovar Newport. Its description in RNAcentral is "partial 23S ribosomal RNA". The stretch from base 1 to 122 matches the Rfam family "Bacterial large subunit ribosomal RNA", at positions 2809 to 2925 of the family's 2925-position model. Lineage: Bacteria; Pseudomonadati; Pseudomonadota; Gammaproteobacteria; Enterobacterales; Enterobacteriaceae. The record is from RNAcentral.